UACGUAGGGGGCUAGCGUUGUCCGGAAUCAUUGGGCGUAAAGAGCGUGUAGGCGGCCCGGUAAGUCCGCUGUGAAAGUCGGGGGCUCAACCCUCGAAUGCCGGUGGAUACUGUCGGGCUAGAGUGCGGAAGAGGCGAGUGGAAUUCCUGGUGUAGCGGUGAAAUGCGCAGAUAUCAGGAGGAACACCGGUGGCGAAGGCGGCAUCCUGGACCGGCAUUGACGCUGAGGAGCGAAAGCCAGGGGAGCAAACGGG
Molecule: ribosomal RNA, 253 nt
Filed under: uncultured bacterium
Lineage: Bacteria
Description: partial 16S ribosomal RNA
Rfam family: Bacterial small subunit ribosomal RNA
Source: RNAcentral